RNAcentral lists this ribosomal RNA (481 nucleotides) under uncultured Actinomycetes bacterium. Its description in RNAcentral is "bacterial SSU rRNA". It matches the Rfam family "Bacterial small subunit ribosomal RNA", at positions 373 to 866 of the family's 1533-position model. Lineage: Bacteria; Bacillati; Actinomycetota; Actinomycetes. The record is from RNAcentral.
GGAGGAAACUCUGACCCAGGGACGCCGCGUGCGGGAUGAAGGCCUUCGGGUUGUAAACCGCUUUCAGCAGGGAAGAAGCGAAAGUGACGGUACCUGCAGAAGAAGCACCGGCUAUAUAUGUGCCAGCAGCCGCGGUAAUACAUAGGGUGCAAGCGUUGUCCGGAAUUAUUGGGCGUAAAGAGCUCGUAGGUGGUUCGUCACGUCGGAUGUGAAAAUCUGGGGCUUAACCCCAGACCUGCAUUCGAUACGGGCGAGCUUGAGUAUGGUAGGGGAGUCUGGAAUUCCUGGUGUAGCGGUGGAAUGCGCAGAUAUCAGGAGGAACACCAAUGGCGAAGGCAGGACUCUGGGCCAUUACUGACACUGAGGAGCGAAAGCGUGGGGAGCGAACAGGAUUAGAUACCCUGGUAGUCCACGCCGUAAACGGUGGGCACUAGUUGUGGGGACCUUCCACGGUCUCUGCGACGCAGCUAACGCAUAAGUG